UCUUGCAUUUAUUUCUCAAGAAUUACUGGCUUUAAAAGAAGCCAAAGCACUACUAGCUUUUUUUCCAUAUUGGUAUUUUUGAUGCUGCUUCCAAUUUUAAAAGGGAACAAAGCUGCCAUAAAUCAAAAUUUUCAAUACUAAAAGUAAAAUAUUUCUCACCAUCCUAAGCAGAGAAUUAUUUUAAUUUUCAUAUACUUUUCCUGUAUAGUAACUAUUUUGAUUAUAUCAUCAGUGUUACCUGUUUCCUCUUUCAGAACAGUGCUGCAUAUACAGAUUGUUAUUGGCAAAGGAAAAUCUGGCUAUCUGGCAAUAUUUUACCUAAAGGCAGAUUAAUUGGUGAAAAAAUUAACUCUUAAGAUGGCCAUUAAUAAUUAGGAAAGUUUACAGAGUGGUCUUAGUAGAAAAUUCAAGUCCUCCUAAUUUAUUUAAGGUUAAAUAAUGUGUUCAACAUGCCUAUUAUGUAUAAUGCUUAGGUUCUAAGGAAGAUUAAGGUUUCAUACCAAAAUACAUGUAGCUUAUCUUUUAGGAAGGGGAAAAAGGCUCUGUUUUGACCAUAGUAAAAUUUGUAUUGUAUUUUAUUUCCUUUUCUUAAGCUCCACUGAUAAGGGAUUGUUUUUAUCAAAAGUUACUAUUUGUAGAUUGGAGGCAUAAUUUUAAAGAUUUUCAUACUUUUAGCUUUCUUCGCAUAAAAGCUAAUUGAAACCGUGUAUGUAGCAAAAUUAAAGGCAGAGCUGUUGCAGUUGAAUUGGAGAGUCAGGGCAAAGAACACUUAUUAGCCCACACUUCCCACCUUUCUACAGGUGGUCCUUUCAGAGCUCAGCCUGAAAACCUACUACUGUGUUAUCGUGGGUCUUUUGGGGUUAGUGGUUCUUUUGAGAAUCUGAAGGAAGCUGUGGACUCUUCCCAGAAAAAAAAAACAAAAAAAAAUCAACACAUACACAUACAAUGUUGGAUGCAGUUUCAAGGGAUUUUGGACAUAUUGAAACCUAUCACAGGCUCUAGGUUAUGGACAUCUGUCCCAUGAGAAAAUUGAUACAUUAAACUAAGAACUUUGUUUUUAACUUACCAAUCACUACUCAGCGCAUCUUAUAUAAGCUGAUAGUUUGUGAUGGAAAAGGUCUGUAGCAUGUGAUAUAAGGUGACCUUAUGAAUGCCUCUCUUGCUGGUACAUUAAGUUGUUUUAAAUAUAUCAUUUGGAGGGGACUGAAAUGUUGGGCUCAUUACAAGCUUGAUACAGAAAUAUUUCUGAAGGAUUUCUAAUCAGAAUUGUAAAACAAUGUACUAUCAUGAAAUGGCAGUCUUCACCUCAUGCUUCGUGGAACAUUUGGUUAGUCCCAUAAAAUCCUAUGCAAAACAUAGUAGUUCAAGAAUUUUUAGGUGGGUACUCACAUUUAUAAGGUAUUCCUCUUACUCUUUGGGCUUUUUCAGUGUGAUUUAUUUAAAUUUUCAUUUAGUUGUUUUACUUUUGGACUAAGGUGCAAUACAGUAGAAAAUAACUUUGUUACAUUUAUGUUGUAGGAAAACUAAGGUGCUGUCUCCUCCCCCUUCCCUUCCCACAAAAUCGUAUUCCCCCUAUUGCUGAAAUGUAACAGACACUACAAAUUUUGUAUUCUUUUUUUGUUUUUUGUUUUGAGACAGGGUCUCACUCUGUCACCCAGGCUGGAGGGCAGUGGCGCUUCACAGCUGACUGCAUCCUCAACCUUGGGGGCUCAUGCCAGUCUUCCCGCCUCAACCUCCCAAGUAGCUGGGCAUCCGCCACCAAGCCCAGCUAAUUUUUGUAUCUUUAGUAGAGAUGGGGUUUCGCCAUGUUGCCCAGGUUGGUGUGGAAUUCCUGGGCUCCAGUUAUAUGCCCACCUCAGCCUCCCAAAGUGCUGGGAUUACAGACGUGACCCACCAUGCCUGGCGCAAAUAUGUAUUCUUUUAAAAUUUUCUCUGAUACUAUAAGCUUUUUGCAUUUAUCUGAAGCAGUAUAUAUGCCUUUGGUAUCAGCAAUUUUAACAGUUUGGAUAUACUUAUCAGCUAUCUUAUUCCAAAACUACAUCUACUUCUUCCAGUAUAGAAUCUGGUGCUUCCUGACCAAAAAGAUGAGAAAAACAAUGUUAAAAAUAUAGAUGCUUUCCAUUGAAAUGGAGUGAAAACAUUGGUUCUGUAUGUUUUCUUUUAAAGUAAUUUUCUUAUUAAAAACUUGCUGUCUUUAUUAUACUUACCCUUUUUAUGCAUAUCAAUAGUAUUUAUAAAAUGUGUUCUAUAAUUAUGUAAUUGUAGAUACUGUUAUGUAUUGUCCAGUGACAUCAUAAGGCAGGCCCUACUGCUGUAUCUUUUCUACCUUCUUAUUUGUAAUAGAAACUAUAGAAUGUAUGACUAAAAAGUCACUUUGAGAUUGACUUUUUAAAAAAGUUAUUACCUUCUGCUGUUGCAAAGUGCAAAACUGUGAGUGGAAUUGUUUUAUUCUGACUUAAUGUGUUAGGAAUUAGAGAAUACAGUGGGAGGAUUUUUAGACAUUGCUGCUGCUGUUACCCAAGGUAUUUUAGAUAAAAAAAAUUUUAAUAAACAUCCCUUUGGUAUUUAAAGUGGAACAUUUAGCCUGUUCAUUUUAAUCUAAAGCAAAAAGUAAUUUGGGUCAAAAUAUUGGUAUAUUUGUAAAGCGCCUUAAUAUAUCCCUUUGUGGAAGGCACUACACAGUUUACUUUUAUAUUGUAUUGUGUAUAUAAGUAUUUUGUAUUAAAAUUGAAUCAGUGGCAACAUUAAAGUUUUAUAAAAUCAUGCUUUGUUAGAAAAGGAAUUACAGCUUUGCAAUAUAACUAAUUGUUUCGCAUCAUUCUGAAUGUAAUAGAUAUGAAUAAUCAGCCUGUGUUUUUAAUGAACUUAUUU
This 2871-nucleotide long non-coding RNA is filed under the name Pongo abelii (Sumatran orangutan). RNAcentral describes it as "lncRNA (ENSPPYG00000038817.1)". Lineage: Eukaryota; Metazoa; Chordata; Mammalia; Primates; Hominidae. The record is from RNAcentral.